RNAcentral lists this unclassified non-coding RNA (301 nucleotides) under Glomeromycetes sp. Its description in RNAcentral is "partial internal transcribed spacer 2". The stretch from base 1 to 71 matches the Rfam family "5.8S ribosomal RNA", at positions 84 to 154 of the family's 154-position model. The record is from RNAcentral. Lineage: Eukaryota; Fungi; Glomeromycota; Glomeromycetes.
GUGAAUCAUCGAAUUUUUGAACGCAAAUUGCGCUUCCUUGCAUCACGGGGAGUAUGCCUGUUUGAGGGUCUGUAUUAAUAAAAAGUCGGUUUAGCUACAAAUUGUGCCGUUUCAGGUGUUUGGGCUUUCUUAACAUUUUUGUUUAAGAGGUUUAAUAUUGUCUUUUUUCGCGCAUUUUUAAACGUACAUAUAUUUUUUUUAUUCGUCUAUUCUUAAUGCCAAAAUCUUAUUAGAUGAUAUCACAUCGCGUGGCUUAGUGUCCAUAAACUUUUCAUGAUUUGACCUAAAAACAGGUAGGAGU